RNAcentral lists this ribosomal RNA (89 nucleotides) under Enterococcus cecorum. Lineage: Bacteria; Bacillati; Bacillota; Bacilli; Lactobacillales; Enterococcaceae. The record is from RNAcentral.
UACACCUGUUCCCAUGCCGAACACAGAAGUUAAGCUUCUUAGCGCCGAUAGUAGUUGGGGGUUUCCCCCUGUGAGGAUAGGACGUCGCC